Non-coding RNA from Camellia sinensis, 546 nucleotides. The record is from RefSeq and is a predicted model, not a curated record. Lineage: Eukaryota; Viridiplantae; Streptophyta; Magnoliopsida; Ericales; Theaceae.
UUUUUUGUUUUAGGGAUUCAUCAGUUUAUGUGGCGAGUGCAAAGCAAAAAGCAAUGGCUUGGAGGAGGUUCCCGACAUUGCUUCGUCAGAGAACUGAUGAUAUCAACGAUGGAGGAAGAUAGUCUCGUUGGGAGUUGGAGGUUGUAUUGGGUGUCUGUUUUGCGAUUGGUUUUAUGAGAUACAUGGAAUGUAGCCAUCCAAAGAAAUAAGGUUUUAUGUGAUACAUGGAAUGCAGCCAUCCAAAGAAAGAAGGGAAGUGAAGAGACAGGAGCAGUGGAGCACAUUGCUUAAAAGAAUAGGCUGGCGGUAGGAGGACUGAGAAGUGAUACUAUUGCUUAAUUAUUAACUAAUUUGUAGGAUUUUUGUUAUACUUUUCACUAUUAAGAAUGUGAAAUCAGUCUGUUUAUAUGCAUGACUUAAUUAAAUACUAAUUUACACUAAAUUUCAGAUGAUAAUUAGAAAGCCUUUUCGAAUUAUGGACCUUAAUUAGAUGAAUGCAACAGUUGCCAUUUUUACUUUAGCCUUGUGUUAGAUCACGAUGGAGCC